UUCAGGAUGAACGCUAGCUACAGGCUUAACACAUGCAAGUCUAGGGGCAGCAUGGUCUUAGCUUGCUAAGGCCGAUGGCGACCGGCGCACGGGUGAGUAACACGUAUCCAACCUGCCGUCUACUCUUGGACAGCCUUCUGAAAGGAAGAUUAAUACAAGAUGGCAUCAUGAGUCCGCAUGUUCACAUGAUUAAAGGUAUUCCGGUAGACGAUGGGGAUGCGUUCCAUUAGAUAGUAGGCGGGGUAACGGCCCACCUAGUCUUCGAUGGAUAGGGGUUCUGAGAGGAAGGUCCCCCACAUUGGAACUGAGACACGGUCCAAACUCCUACGGGAGGCAGCAGUGAGGAAUAUUGGUCAAUGGGCGAGAGCCUGAACCAGCCAAGUAGCGUGAAGGAUGACUGCCCUAUGGGUUGUAAACUUCUUUUAUAAAGGAAUAAAGUCGGGUAUGGAUACCCGUUUGCAUGUACUUUAUGAAUAAGGAUCGGCUAACUCCGUGCCAGCAGCCGCGGUAAUACGGAGGAUCCGAGCGUUAUCCGGAUUUAUUGGGUUUAAAGGGAGCGUAGAUGGAUGUUUAAGUCAGUUGUGAAAGUUUGCGGCUCAACCGUAAAAUUGCAGUUGAUACUGGAUAUCUUGAGUGCAGUUGAGGCAGGCGGAAUUCGUGGUGUAGCGGUGAAAUGCUUAGAUAUCACGAAGAACUCCGAUUGCGAAGGCAGCCUGCUAAGCUGCAACUGACAUUGAGGCUCGAAAGUGUGGGUAUCAAACAGGAUUAGAUACCCUGGUAGUCCACACGGUAAACGAUGAAUACUCGCUGUUUGCGAUAUACUGCAAGCGGCCAAGCGAAAGCGUUAAGUAUUCCACCUGGGGAGUACGCCGGCAACGGUGAAACUCAAAGGAAUUGACGGGGGCCCGCACAAGCGGAGGAACAUGUGGUUUAAUUCGAUGAUACGCGAGGAACCUUACCCGGGCUUAAAUUGCAGAUGAAUUACGGUGAAAGCCGUAAGCCGCAAGGCAUCUGUGAAGGUGCUGCAUGGUUGUCGUCAGCUCGUGCCGUGAGGUGUCGGCUUAAGUGCCAUAACGAGCGCAACCCUUGUUGUCAGUUACUAACAGGUUCCGCUGAGGACUCUGACAAGACUGCCAUCGUAAGAUGUGAGGAAGGUGGGGAUGACGUCAAAUCAGCACGGCCCUUACGUCCGGGGCUACACACGUGUUACAAUGGGGGGUACAGAGGGCCGCUACCACGCGAGUGGAUGCCAAUCCCCAAAACCUCUCUCAGUUCGGACUGGAGUCUGCAACCCGACUCCACGAAGCUGGAUUCGCUAGUAAUCGCGCAUCAGCCACGGCGCGGUGAAUACGUUCCCGGGCCUUGUACACACCGCCCGUCAAGCCAUGGGAGCCGGGGGUACAAGAAGUGCGUAACCGCGAGGAGCGCCCUAGGG
This 1435-nucleotide ribosomal RNA is filed under the name uncultured bacterium. RNAcentral describes it as "bacterial SSU rRNA". It matches the Rfam family "Bacterial small subunit ribosomal RNA". The record is from RNAcentral.